Molecule: long non-coding RNA, 1420 nt
Organism: Aegilops tauschii subsp. strangulata
Lineage: Eukaryota; Viridiplantae; Streptophyta; Magnoliopsida; Poales; Poaceae
Source: RefSeq, a predicted model, not a curated record
GAGGAUCAAUGACGGCGGCGCGUCUUCGACUCACUUCAGUCCUUAUAGUCGUCGCUAGGUGGUCUACAGAUCUAGAUGUAUUUUUUAUUUAUUUUUUAUACUGCCAUGACUGAAGAUGAAUAGAUCGAAAGUUUCUCGCACAAAAAAAAAGUUUUGCCCGGCUCCGGCGAGGGAGGAACGAUGACGACGGCAUGCCUACGGCUCUAUUCGGUACACUGUAUUGCCAUGAUUAAAAAGGAGUAGAUCAGAAGUUUUCGCGUAAAUUUAAAACAUCCCUUCGAACCUAAAAAGAUAUACUCUCAAAUUGAUUAUAUUUUUCUCUCAAAAACGAAUAGCUCAGCCUCUACAACAUUGCAACAUAGGAUGCACACAACCAACACUCUAUUAAAUAAGUGUAGUACAGUCUGUACGAGUACAUAUCUGGUGAUACGGCUCACAAUCUGCUCCGAUGCUCCGAGACAGUAUGGUUCGUUGGAUCUGAACUCUAGGGACAGAUUGACUAGCCUCACUUCCUUCUAGCAAAAAUAUACGGAAGACACCUUGGUUAUUCUGCAAUUAGGGACAGGUCCCUUCAUUCCGUCUUCUCCUGGAUUCGAUUGCUUCUCAGCGCCCCGUAAAAAACAGUUUUCCCCAUCGCCGACGACCACCAUGGAUGAUUUUCGAUCGCCACCGGCCGCCGGCAGCCGCAGCUUAUUCCUGAUCUGCUUUUGUUAGCCUCAAUCCUGCAUAGACUAUUAGACCACCGUGCGCGUGCUGAAUUGUACUAGCUCGGAUCAGAUCAGGCCACGUCGCCGGAAACGGGGAGCAGAGAAGAAUCUCUCCCCGCCGCUGCUGGAACCGACCACGUCGCCGGAAACGGGGAUCCUACGCAACGAAGGCUGGAUGCAGGAUAAACCAUUGCUUAUGCAGUCUACUCUUUGGGGAAGCAUGAUGUUUGAACCGAUGGCGUGCUUCCUUGUAGCAUCUGGAAAAAUCCAUUUGGGUGUGGAAGGUGUUGGCUUCACAGACGAUGUGCAAAACAACCAGAUGGCUGGCUGCGAUUCUGGAGCACAAACACGAUCCUUUUGGUAUUGUAGUUGUGAGAUCAAGGAAAAUCAUCUGUAUUUGCAGUUGACAAGAGUAAUGUAAUAUUAGAGGCAACAUGUGCCUUUCAGGUAUAGGAGUACCCAUGUUUAGUUCAGCAAACAGGAGCUCGAGUUGCUGUUACAUAUAUGUGCGAUUCUAUGGACAACCUUGUGUUGUGUUUUAUCAAUCUGGUAUGUAUGUAUGUUGUUAGCUUUACUAGACAACAUGCUUCCUAAAGGUGUUACUACUACUGUGAAAUUUUUUUGUUUUGCAAAGUCUUGUUCCUUAACCCUGAGUUGAAUGAAAUCAGGAUGAUUUGUUUUGAUUGUAGAGAUUUUAUUUGCUUCGUUUAAAA